AGAUGUGACAACUUUAAAAACUCAACUUCAACUUUGUAUCAAAUGGUUGAUUUUAACUUGUGUUUUAACAAUGAUAAUGGUAUUUGUUUGACAAUUAAGCUGUCACAUGGACUGAGUCUUUACAACGCAGAAAACAAGAAGUAUUCACGUUUUCAUAGGCUUGAUUUAAAUUCCCUGUUAAUGUAGAAUUCUUCUUCCUCUCAGUUUUUACAGAAUACAAGUUACUAAAUAGGAAAAUAUGACACAUUCAUCUACGAAAAGGUAUUAUUUUUGUGAUCCUUUCAUAGCUUUUUCCCAUAUCCUGCACACAGCAGUAAAUUAUCAUCAUCAUUUCUGUUGUCUGAUUUUAGACUUCUGCUUUUAUCUGAUUAAAUGAUAGCAGUGUUAUUCUGAUCUGACAGUGUGAAUAGUUUUGUGAUACUCUCACUGCUCACAAUGGAUUCUCACAUCAACAAGGGGUGUAAUGUCCCCAUUCUUUUAAUCUAUCUAUAUAUCUAUUUUUUGAAUACAGAAACUAAAAUGGCACUGCGAAAAGACUUUAACAGGCCUGACCUCCGUUAGUAUAGUUUUCAGUUCAUUUCAACCCAUUCUCACUCCAAAGGCGUCAAAAACCGAAGCAUGGUCAAGCGCCCCUAGCGUCACUUUUAUGACGCCAAAUGUGCCUCUCGGCGUCGACUAUCGAAGCACUACGACCUUCAUUGAUUUCAGUGGGAAACUUUUGGCGUCAGAAUUCGACACGAGGACAUGAGAUGUUUAUCGCUAUGAAAUCACGUUCAAGAAGUCUCAUUCAGCACACAUCGCGCGAUACUUGCUAUCAGUUCCACAGUUUGGCUGAAAAGACAUAAAGGCAGUCAGCCCAGUGGUGUUUCUGGAGAGGGAUUCCUUCAGAAAUGGAGAAGACAGAAAGCUGCGGAGGCAGAUAUUUGCAGCAGUAAGUCUGUGAUAGUUUGUCUCUUUUAUCAAAAAUUCCUGCUGUUAUAAUUUGUACAGCAUUUGUUGUUUCUUAAACUGUUGCACUGUCCAAAUACCCACACUUGCCAUCUUUUCACUUGAUCACUUGAUUACUUAUUUGAAGUC
This 1077-nucleotide long non-coding RNA is filed under the name Carassius auratus (goldfish). RNAcentral describes it as "lncRNA (ENSCARG00000016938.1)". Lineage: Eukaryota; Metazoa; Chordata; Actinopteri; Cypriniformes; Cyprinidae. The record is from RNAcentral.